This 211-nucleotide ribosomal RNA is filed under the name uncultured bacterium. RNAcentral describes it as "partial 16S ribosomal RNA". It matches the Rfam family "Bacterial small subunit ribosomal RNA", at positions 28 to 240 of the family's 1533-position model. The record is from RNAcentral.
GAUGAACGCUAGCGGCAGGCCUAAUACAUGCAAGUCGGACGGGAUUCCCGAUUUAUCGGGAUGAGAGUGGCGCACGGGUGCGUAACACGUAUGUAACCUACCCUUGUCAGGGGGAUAGCCUCUCGAAAGAGAGAUUAAGCCCGCAUAACAUUAUGAUAUAGCAUUAUAUUAUAAUCAAAUAUUUAUAGGACGAGGAUGGGCAUGCGGAACA